CGAACGCUGGCGGCGUGCCUAACACAUGCAAGUCGAACGGACUUUAUGACUUCGGUUAUAAAGUUAGUGGCGCACGGGUGAGUAACGCGUGGAUAUCUGCCUAUCAGUGGGGGACAACUACGGGAAACCGUAGCUAAUACCGCAUACGAUCUAAGGAUGAAAGCAGGGGACCUUCGGGCCUUGCGCUGAUAGAUGAGUCCGCGUCAGAUUAGCUAGUUGGUAAGGUAAUGGCUUACCAAGGCGAUGAUCUGUAACUGGUUUGAGAGGAUGAUCAGUCACACUGGAACUGAGACACGGUCCAGACUCCUACGGGAGGCAGCAGUGGGGAAUAUUGCACAAUGGGCGAAAGCCUGAUGCAGCGACGCCGCGUGCGGGAAGAAGGCCUUCGGGUUGUAAACCGCUUUCAAUUGGGAAGAAGAGAUGAGUACUAAUAAUGCUCUGAUUUGACGGUACCUUUAGAAGAAGCACCGGCUAAUUUC
RNAcentral lists this ribosomal RNA (479 nucleotides) under uncultured bacterium. Its description in RNAcentral is "bacterial SSU rRNA". It matches the Rfam family "Bacterial small subunit ribosomal RNA", at positions 30 to 504 of the family's 1533-position model. The record is from RNAcentral.